ACCUGCCAGAGCUCCAGGAGCGUUUGGAAAAUGCUCCAGGAAGAGGUGGGAUUGUUGAGGUGUCUGUGCAGGGCCAGGAGCUGGGCUGGAUGAUCCUUGUGCUCCCUUCCCACUCAGGAUAUUCCACGAACAAACAAACCCCUUCCCCUCUCUUCUCCAAAGCACUUCGGGUGAAUCACGAUUUCUGGAGGGUUAAGGUUUAGCUAAGGGUUAGAAGCAAUUUAUAAUGACCAAGAUGUAAGUCAGAUAAGCAAAUUGUAGGUUAAUGAUUAUGAGAUGCUCAAGCCAGAGCUAAUUGUUCUGUUGUUGAUAGAAGGAAGUGCAGUGAGUGGUUCUGGGAACAGACUGAACCCAGGGAGAGCAAGGGCAGCACCUGGGCUCUGCCCCAACCCAUCCCUGAGCAGGGCCUGGAUCCUGCCAGAGCUCACACUCACCUGAGGAAAACAUUCCUGACUUCCCUGGAUCCUGCCAGAGCUCACACUCACCUGAGGAAAACAUUCCUGACUCCCCUGGAUCCUGCCAGAGCUCACACUCACCUGAGGAAGACUUUCCUGGCUCCAUCCCUUGAGGCCACUGACCCAAGUCCAGCCCAGCCACCCAAACCAAGAGAAGAACUGAGCAGGCCCAGAUCCCAGCAAACUCCUGGCAGCGCUCCCAGCUCAGCUCAGCACACGGAUCCAGCCCCAGAGCUCGGGAAUCACUCACUUUUCCAGGCUGGAAGCAAAGCACGUGGUGAAGAACGUGCAAAUCUUCUGCAGGCCCCCAAGCAAUGAACCUGGAGCAGUGAACCUGAAGUCCUGCAAAGGCUGCAAGAAAAGCUGGAAUUUGCUGCUGCCUCAGCUGAAAGCUCGGAUUGCGGCACCUCCCGGGAGAGGGGUUGGAUGAGAGACCUUUAGGGAAGAGAAGGAAAGACUGGACCUCCCAACCAAGAGUUCAGAGGAGGUGGAAUGUGUUUGUCAGUGCUGGGGAGUGUUAUAGAUAUAUUUUAUAUUGUUGGCUUUUUGCAAAUAUUAAAAUGAAUGUUAUGUGUAUAAGAAUGAGAAAUUUUGUUGUAUUAAUAUAGUUUUCUUUAUUUCUGUUAUUGAUGAAAUUUAGAAAUAGUACUAUAAUACAUAUAUGUUAGGCUAUGGCAUAGCAUUAAAAUAAAAACUGCUUUUGUUUGUAUAACCCA
This 1171-nucleotide long non-coding RNA is filed under the name Cyanistes caeruleus (blue tit). Its description in RNAcentral is "lncRNA (ENSCCEG00000022345.1)". Lineage: Eukaryota; Metazoa; Chordata; Aves; Passeriformes; Paridae. The record is from RNAcentral.